This 497-nucleotide ribosomal RNA is filed under the name uncultured bacterium. Its description in RNAcentral is "partial 16S ribosomal RNA". It matches the Rfam family "Bacterial small subunit ribosomal RNA", at positions 28 to 507 of the family's 1533-position model. The record is from RNAcentral.
GAUGAACGCUGGCGGCGUGCCUAAUACAUGCAAGUCGAGCGAACGGACGAGAAGCUUGCUUCUCUGAUGUUAGCGGCGGACGGGUGAGUAACGCGUGGAUAACCUACCUAUAAGACUGGGAUAACUUCGGGAAACCGGAGAUAAUACCGGAUAAUAUUUUGAACCGCAUGGUUCAAAAGUGAAAGACGGUCUUGCUGUCACUUAUAGAUGGAUCCGCGUUGCAUUAGCUAGUUGGUAAGGUAACGGCUUACCAAGGCAACGAUGCAUAGCCGACCUGAGAGGGUGAUCAGCCACACUGGAACUGAGACACGGUCCAGACUCCUACGGGAGGCAGCAGUAGGGAAUCUUCCACAAUGGGCGAAAGCCUGACGCAGCAACGCCGCGUGAGUGAUGAAGGUCUUCGGAUCGUAAAACUCUGUUAUUAGGGAAGAACAUAUGUGUAAUUAACUGUGCACAUCUUGACGGUACCUAAUCAGAAAGCCACGGCUAACUACGUG